UAAGGAAUAUUGGGCAAUGGGCGCGAGCCUGACCCAGCCAUGCCGCGUGCAGGAAGACGGCCUUAUGGGUUGUAAACUGCUUUUGUCAGGGGAUAAACCUAUCUGCGAGUAGAUAGCUGAAGGUACCUGAAGAAUAAGCAUCGGCUAACUCCGUGCCAGCAGCCGCGGUAAUACGGAGGAUGCGAGCGUUAUCCGGAUUCACUGGGUUUAAAGGGUGCGCAGGCGGGGCAUUAAGUCAGUGGUGAAAUAAGACGGCUCAACUGUCUGGCUGCCAUUGAUACUGAUGUUCGAGAGUGUAAUUGGAGUGGGCGGAAUGUGUCAUGUAGCGGUGAAAUGCUUAGAUAUGACACAGAACACCGAUCGCGAAGGCAGCUCACUAAGUUAAUACUGACGCUCAUGCACGAAAGCGUGGGGAUCAAACAG
RNAcentral lists this ribosomal RNA (423 nucleotides) under uncultured bacterium. RNAcentral describes it as "bacterial SSU rRNA". It matches the Rfam family "Bacterial small subunit ribosomal RNA", at positions 355 to 775 of the family's 1533-position model. The record is from RNAcentral.